RNAcentral lists this ribosomal RNA (266 nucleotides) under uncultured bacterium. RNAcentral's name for it is "partial 16S ribosomal RNA". It matches the Rfam family "Bacterial small subunit ribosomal RNA", at positions 793 to 1055 of the family's 1533-position model. The record is from RNAcentral.
GUCCACGCCGUAAACGAUGAAUGCCAGCCGUUAGUGGGUUUACUCACUAGUGGCGCAGCUAACGCUUUAAGCAUUCCGCCUGGGGAGUACGGUCGCAAGAUUAAAACUCAAAGGAAUUGACGGGGGCCCGCACAAGCGGUGGAGCAUGUGGUUUAAUUCGACGCAACGCGCAGAACCUUACCAGCCCUUGACAUCCCGGUCGCGGACUCCAGAGACGGAGUCCUUCAGUUCGGCUGGACCGGAGACAGGUGCUGCAUGGCUGUCGU